RNAcentral lists this transfer RNA (71 nucleotides) under Toxocara canis (dog roundworm). It matches the Rfam family "tRNA". From Rfam's summary of the family: Transfer RNA (tRNA) molecules are approximately 80 nucleotides in length. The record is from Rfam by way of RNAcentral. Lineage: Eukaryota; Metazoa; Nematoda; Chromadorea; Rhabditida; Toxocaridae.
GGAGCAGUAGCUCAGUGGUUGAGCUUCCCCUUUGUAUGCGGGAAGACCGGGUUCGAUUCCCGGCUGCUUUC